RNAcentral lists this transfer RNA (73 nucleotides) under Amoebidium parasiticum. RNAcentral's name for it is "tRNA-Cys". It matches the Rfam family "tRNA". From Rfam's summary of the family: Transfer RNA (tRNA) molecules are approximately 80 nucleotides in length. Their secondary structure includes four short double-helical elements and three loops (D, anti-codon, and T loops). Lineage: Eukaryota; Ichthyosporea; Ichthyophonida; Amoebidiaceae. The record is from RNAcentral.
AGUGAUAUAGCUCAAUGGUUAGAGUUUAGUAUUGCAAAUACUAAUGUUGUAGGUUCGAGUCCUACUAUCACUU